ACUGGUACUCCGUACUCAAAG
Molecule: microRNA, 21 nt
Filed under: Drosophila virilis
Lineage: Eukaryota; Metazoa; Arthropoda; Insecta; Diptera; Drosophilidae
Description: dvi-miR-9542e-5p
Source: miRBase by way of RNAcentral